This 90-nucleotide transfer RNA is filed under the name bacterium. Its description in RNAcentral is "tRNA-Ser". It matches the Rfam family "tRNA". Rfam says of the family: Transfer RNA (tRNA) molecules are approximately 80 nucleotides in length. Their secondary structure includes four short double-helical elements and three loops (D, anti-codon, and T loops). The record is from RNAcentral.
GGAGAGGUGACAGAGCGGUCGAAUGUGACGGUCUUGAAAACCGUUGGGCCUUAACGGGUCCCGUGGGUUCGAAUCCCACCCUCUCCGCCA